This 15506-nucleotide long non-coding RNA is filed under the name Populus trichocarpa (black cottonwood). Its description in RNAcentral is "long non-coding RNA (PTRI_LNC002331)". Lineage: Eukaryota; Viridiplantae; Streptophyta; Magnoliopsida; Malpighiales; Salicaceae. The record is from RNAcentral.
GACUUGUGGCCACAUCUGUAACCCAAGGAAUGAAAGGGUUGUUUAUGAGGCAAGAAACAGGCCGCCCUUGCUCUGCAUUUUUCUUGAUCAUUUGAGGAAUUACUUGUUUACCAACAAGCUCAAGUUGAAGUAAGUAUUGAUCAAGGUCUUGGUGCCUAUCCUCGUCCUCUUCCCAUCCAUCUGCAAAGAAUUCAAACCGGAUAAAGCCAUCACCAAACGGGGUCAGCUUAUCUAUGAUGUCACUGGCUUGUCUCAUCUGUUCGCCAGUGGUUUCUGUAGUGGAGAAGGUGACAAGGAAGCCUUUGGAGGCAAGAAUUUUUCCAAGUCUAAGUAAAGGAUUUACAUGGCCUUGGCCUGGGAAAGAAACAAGGAAGAGAUGGCCAAGAGACUCGGAAACCAUUUUUCUCUUCCGGGUUUUUGGACAGGCAGAGAGACGGAAGAGAUUGAUGAACAGGAGAGGACUUGAUGAGUUUGGGAAUGAGUGGUGAGCAUGGAAUGAAAGGAUGCUGAUAUAUAUACCAUUUAUAAGGAGUUACAUUCAAAGUUUUUAGUGAUAGAUAGAUCUACAGAGACUGUUAGUUGGCUGACGGUCAAAUGCAUACAAUGUUUCAAUUAUAACUCUUUCCUUGGCUUCUUCCAACAGAAGAUGAAAUAAAAUUUGAUUACGCUAGUUAAUUAACUGUAGCUUUCAAUGAUUUUGCAGUCAUAUUAGAGCAAAAUGUAUAUUGUGAUUAUAGAAGCGAGAAACACAUCUAUUUGCAAUUUUGCAUGUCGAUUAUUAUUCUCUUUUUCCGAUCAUGGAAAUCAGUAGUCAAGACAUGUUUGAAAAUCUUUGGAAAACACUCAGAAACCCAAUACAUCGGGUAAACCAACAACUUAUACCGACUGAAUGAUGAACAUUAUGGCCAAGGUUAGCUAGUCAUUCCGCCCAACAAUUGGCUUCGCAGAAGGUUUGUCGGAUCGGCACCUCCCAUUGCCUGGAAAACAACUGUUGAGUUUCUGUCAGGAUGGGAUCCUGGAUGAGUCUCCUCUAAAAACUGUCGCAAGAACUGCAGAAUCAACCUCUAGUUCAGUCCUGGUACAUCCUAAAUUCCAAGCUAAAUCUGGUCCGUAGAAAGCAGCCCACGAUUCAGCUUUCGUAGAGAACAAAUACCCAAUUUAGCUGCGAAGCCAUGAAUUUAAUUUAAGGAUUUAUGGCAGUAAUUUUGCAAUUUUAUUUUAUUUUAUUUUCUUUUUUAUAAUAUUAUGGCUUUGAGACUUUAAUUAGUAAAGCUUUAUUUUUUUACAUGUGAUACACUGCUGGUUGGAUAAUUUUUUUAGCCUUUAAAAAAAUAUAAAAAUAUUAAAAAGUUAAAAAUUUAAUGUGUCAAAUAAAAAAAAACUUUUAAAAUAUUAAAAUAUUGAUAUAUUAGAUGAUAUAUUAUUUUUUUUAAAAAAUAUUAAUAUAAUGAUAUAUUAAAUUGACCUCGAUCAACUAUAAUGAAACUCAUUAUCCAAGAUAGGAAAAUGUAAUAAUCUCAUGAAAGCUAUACAAAAACAAAUUGAAAAGGAAAUCGUGACAAAAAAAAAACCAAAUUUAAAAAAGAAAGCACUCAAAAAAAUAAACCAGUGCAUACAAGCCAUCUAAAACGAUGUUUGGGUCCAAUAGAUAAAAUUGAUCAGACACCCAAGACAGAAAUAUGAUCGUCAUUUUAAACGCCCCCAUAAAAGUUUCACCAUGUGAUAAAGGUCUUGAAGAAAUUCGAGUUAAAUUCCUUCCUUCUCGACCAAUUCAAAAAGAAAUCUCCAUUGCCAUUAAUCAUAAAUAAAGAUUGUUAUUGAGAUGGCCUGCGCUAGCUGAAUAGCUAGCCUCCCUUUCUUUUGGGGGCAAACCAAAUGAAUUCAUUGAAACAAGGAGCGAAAAGGCACUCAAGCGGAAAGAAAAGCAUCCUGAUGAGAGAAGCCGAAGCUCCCACAAAAUUACAGACCUACAAAAGCAGACAAAAGAAUCCAUUUCAGAGCCAAAAAAUAUGUGCUUCCAGUUUCAAAUCCUUUGAAGCAGAGCUCGAGACCAGUUAAAUGGUGUUACUUCAACAGCAACCAGUUAUGCCAGCUGUUUUGACCAUUAGUUCUAGGACCUCCACGAAAUUUUUUUGGGUUUGAUGGGUGGUUAAGAUAACAUACCCAUCAACACUCUUUCUUUCUUUCUUUCUUUCUUUUUAUCAAGAACGACGGGGAUAAAGCCUAAAACAUAAAAUUACAAUUUACAAGCAAGGUAACAUAUAUCCCAUGAUUAUCUUCAACGAUUGAAUUUGAAAACAUCCCAUGAUAGUCUUGUAAUUAUGGUAAUGAAUCUGUGGGCAUGCAAAUGAACAGAUAGAAUAAUGGUAGAGCAAUUCAAUUUAAUUGGUGAACAUUGUAUAAAGUCCCGAAUUUGAAGGACUGGGAGUACGAAGAAAAACACUAGUAUCUCUUUACAAUCAACGUAUUUUGUUGAAGAUGAUAUAUUUGCUAGUAUUGAGUUUGUGAUUGUAGGAGAGUGCCAAUCAAAUCAAUGGAGGGUGAUGGAGGAUGAAUAUCAACAAUGGUUGAUCACUUAAAAAAAAUUAAAAUAGUGUUUUUUUGAUAAAAAAAAAUUAUCAAGAGGUUAAAAGUUGAGUUUUUAUUUGAUUUACUCAAAAUCAAUCCAGAUUUUUUAUCAGUUUGAAUCAAGUUAUUUAUGAAAAUUUUGUGGUAUUCAAUAAGUAACUGAUGAUAUCCUAUUAAUUAUUUUUCAGAUCUAUAUUGAAAAAAAAUACAAAUAAAAAAAGAAAGACAAAAUGAAACUCAUAACUUGCUAAAAAUAAUAAAAAUAUAUCUAUCUAAAAUUUCUCUCUCGUAAUUGUAUUUAUUUAAAAAAAAACUCAAGGAAUGAGUUUGGGAAUGAGUGGUAAGCAUGGAAUGAAAGGAUGCAGAUAAAUAUAGCAUUUAAAGUUUUUAGUGAUAGAUAGAUCAACAGAGACUGUUAGUUGGCUGACGGUCAAAUGCAUACAAUGUUUCAAUUAUAACUCUUUCCCUGGCUUCUUCGAACAGAAGAUGAAAUCAAAUUUGAUUACGCUAAUUAAUUAACUGUAGCUUUCAAUGAUUUUGCAGUCAUAUUAGAGCAAAAUGUAUAUUGUGAUUAUAGAAGCGAGAAACGCAUCUAUUUGCAAUUUUGCAUGUCGAUUAUUAUUCUCUGUUUCCGAUCAUGGAAAUCAGUAGUCAAGAAAAACACUCAGAAACCCAGUACAUCGGGUAACCAACAACUUAUACCGAUUGAAUGUUGAAGAUUAGUUACAAGUGCAAGUGCACUUCAUUCCUUGACUUCUGGUUGUCUAUGAAAGAUUCUGCACUAGUAUAUGCUUUCCAGCACGUCAUGCUAAGAAGGGAUAUUCAGUUCCUGCUGACGUUCAAAUUUGUUUUUUGAUCAAUGCUAUCGUACAUAGUGUCGAAUUUCUUUACGGAAACCAACGUAUCUUAUCCUCACAAUUUGUGAUGCUGUUGAAAGUUUCUCUCAGUCACCACUCAGCAAUACGAUAUUUGUAUUGUUCGGAGUUCUUGGCCCAGCAACUUCCAAUUGAAUCCUGAUGAGAGAAGCCGAAGCUCCUACAAAAUUACAGACCUAUAAAAGCAGACAAAAGAAUCCAUUUUGGAGCCAAAAAAAUAUAUGCUUCCAGUUUCAAAUCUAUAAGUUAGCCAAUCCUUUGAAGCAGAACUAGAGACCAGUUAAAAAUUCAACUGUUUUGACCAUUAGUUCUAGAAGAUGUGAACAGUUUACAUCUAAAAGUGUUUUGUGCUGGUGGGGUCGGGAGAAUGGUUCUGAUCAACUUGUGUGUGUGAUUUAUGCUUUGCGCUUUGCAGGGCAAUGCAGAGUACUUUUUUUUAAUAGAAAAAAAAUAAUACUUUUUAUAUAUAAAUAAAUUAUAUUAAAGUUAAUAAAUGAUAGCUGUGAAUUAUGUAUUCCAAAAACAUUAAGGAUUGGUUGAGAUUGGAAUUUUUUUUUCAUGCUACUCAAUAUGAAAACUUUGUAUCAUAUAUUUGUGUUUAGAUUAAUAUUGUUUUGUUUUUCUAUUGAAAGAUAGUUUUAUAAUUUUGAAAAUACCUAAAAUAAUUUCUUGGAGACUCACAUUGAUAUAGAAAUUCUUGCCAUUGGCCUAGAUUAGAGGGAGAAUCAAUAUAUUUCCUUAAGAAAAAACAGAGAGAGAUGAUGAUCAAAAUCUCUUUCUAUUUUGGAGUUGAUUAAUUUGGUUGCACGAUGAGUCUACCUAGCAAGCCACAACAUAAUAAUUCUUAAAUACCAAAAAAUAAAAUUUAAAAUAUUUAUGAACUAAAUUAUUUUUUUAUUGUUUCAUGCUUCAAGAAAAAAAAAAGAAAAAAAAAGCAAGAGAAUCUAGCCCUUACCAAAACCCAGACCAGCAAGCUCAGAGGUGUCGUUUAGCCGGGUUAUUACCCAUCAAAUAUAAAAUGACAACAACCCAAGAGGUGUCGUUUAGCUCUUAGGCUGCGUUUGUUUCCCGAAAAGUGGUUUUCAGAAAACUACUUUUCAAAUUUUUCUGUAUUUAUUUGCCAUUAGGAAAGUUGAUUAACGAAUAACACUUUGCGGUCAACGGAAAACACUUUUCAAUCAAAUAAAAAUUUGGCUUGGUUUCCAGGAAAGUGUUUUCCUUUUAUUUUGGGUGGAAAACACUUUCCGGAAUUUGUGAAAAAUUUAGAAAUGUCAUAUUAUUUGUUGAUUAUAUCAAAUUUGGUCCUCAAAUUUUUGAUUUCUAUAUAUAUUUUGUUUUGAAUAUUUGUUUUUCAAUUUCAUCCUUUAGAAUUUAAUUUUUAUAUUAACUUUGAUCCUCAUUUUUAUAAUUGUUAUUUGAUUUUCCCUUAACAUUUUUUAAUUGAAAAUUUUUAUCUAUCAAAUUUGAUCCUCAUUAUUUUGAUUGUUACUUAUUUUAUUUGAAAUAAUUUAUGAAAUUUUAAUUAUUAUUAUUUUAAUUUCUUCAUCUUUCAUUUUUUUUUUUUUAGAUUUGAUUUCUAUUAUUUUGAUUAUUAUUUAUUUUAUUUGAGAUAAUUUGAAAUCAUUUUUUUUCAAUUACAUUCUCAUUCAACUUUUUAAUUUGUAAGAUUUGUUCCUCAUUAUUUUAAUAAACUUGAGAAAAAUAAAACAUUAAUAAGUUAUUUUCCAGCUCAUUUUCCAUGACAUAACCAAACACUAGAAAGUAUUUUUCAAUUUAUUUUUCAUUACACUACCAAACAUCGGAAAAUAAUUUAUUUUUCCGGAAUUCAUUUUCCAAAAAAAACUACUUUCCAGCAAACAAACGGGGCCUUAAAUACACAUUUUUUUACCGCAUUUGUUACCACAAACGGGGCCUUAAAUACACAUUUUUUUACCGCAUUUGUUACCAUGCAUGUGAUUGGUUAUCUACUUUAGCUGCAUGCCUUAUAUGGUUUUUUAAUAAUGUGAGUAUAAUUUUAUUUAUACAUAUUUACUUAUAUAUUCUAUGUGAGUAUAAUUUUAUUUAUACAUAUUUACUUAUAUAUUCUAAUAAAAAAAUUAUCUUAACAAUUCGUUUAUAUUGAUACUUUUAGUCAGAAAACCUAUUGAAGAAUAAAUCUUUGAAUAAUAUUUUUUAAUGUUUUUCAUAGAUAUGUGAGGCUUACCUUUCUUUAACAUAAAAGUAACUUUUUAUUUAGCUCUUUCAAGCUAUAAAAUUACUUUUGACUCUCUCGUUGAAAACACCACCUUCCUUUUCUCCGCUUAUUUCACCUACCAUAGUUAUUCACGGUGGUGAAAGUUAAAUAUGAGUUAUUGAGUUUUAAAUAAUAAUAUGUAUGUUUCACACACAUUAAAUUUUUUUUAUGUAUAUUUUUGUGUUGAUAUUAAAAAUAAUUUUUUUAAAAAAAAAUAUUAUUUUAAUAUAUUUUCAAACAAAAAACAUUUUAAAAAGCAACUAUUAUCACAAUAACAAAUAUGUUCGACAUCUUUGAAAAUUUGUAAAACAAAUAUGUAUUUAAUUCUCAAAAAAAAUAAUCUCAUUGCUAUCUCAGCUAGAACACAAGAUAAGACAUUUUAUUUUCAAUCAAUAUUAAUAACUUGCAUAUUAUUUUAAAAAAAUCCACCUUUUAAACUAACAUAUAAUUAUUCAUAAAAAAAUUAAAAAUAUUUAUAAAAAACUUCAAUUGUUUUUUAAAAACAAAGAUAUAAUUGAACAACCAUUUAAAUAUAAUUGAACAACCAUUUAAAUAUUAUUUUAAUAAAUUGAUUCCAAUAUAUAUUUUUUUAUAAAAAAGGAAACAUCCAAAAACCUGGUACCAAGGUCUUUAGUGGCAGAAAGCGGGCUUGGAUAUGCAGGACUCCUAACUAUCCUUGUACACUAUUGAGCACAUAAACAAUGGAAACCUGGUCCGAAACCAUUAACGCUGGUGCUGAAAAGUGAAAUACAUAUAAAAGAUCGAGGUUACAUUUCUGCUGGUAGUGAAAAGUGAAAACUUCUUCAAUUUAUUUUCAGUGAAAAGCUUUUGAUUUUUUGAAUGUUUAAAAAAUAUAUUUAUUUGAAAAAAAUAUUAAAUUAAAAUUCUUUAUAUGUUUUUCAAUAAUUUUGAUAAUAUAAUGAUAAAAAUUAAAAAAUAUAUUUUCAAAAAGCAUAUUAAUGCAAUGAACUACUGUUGCAGGCAUGAAUAUUCCAUCAAUAUCAAUAUAUCGAGCAUUAUUUUAUUUUAUUUUAAUAUCAUCUCUGCUUUCUCACAUCCAGACCACGUAUAUUUCUUCAGUCCGGUUAAAAAAAGGACCAUUAUUAGUGCUAAAAGUAGAGUAACAUAGUCUUAAAUAUGAUAUGAUCUACAUUUCAGGAUUUGGAAUUCUUUCCUUGGAAUAAAUAAAAGGUAAACAAAACUUAAUAAAAAAACGCAGUAAUCCUAGCAUUAUCCAAUCACAAUUAUUGGCCUUCGUUGCCUUAUGUAUAUUGAUGAGGAAACAACGAGCGUACAACCAUCGCUUGGCAGGAUUAUCACUAACGUCCUUGCCUUAAUUAAUCUUCAUGUCACGAUUUAUCAUUGCACAAUCCCUUCACGGAACCGUGCAUACUUCAAUUGAACCACAACUCUCAAUAAUUUCAUCUACAAACAACUGAAUAUUCUUGUCCGAUGAACCACCACCGGCAACUGCCUCUCUUGCCGCGAUCCUCAAUUCCCUUGCAUUGGAUUUAAGCUCCACAGACUUUGGUCCGUCCAUGAUCUCUCUAAUACAUCUUUCAACUUCCUCAUUGCUAACAAUCCCAUCUUGAUUUGCUCUAAGCCUUAGACCAAUGCGAAAAACAUCAACAAUAAGUUUUGCAUUUGUUGGCUGGUCGCUCCACUUGGGGUAUGCAAUCACCGGCACGCCCGCAGCAAUUGUUUCUAACAUAGAAUUCCAUCCACAAUGAGUUAUAAAACACGCAAUAUAUAGCUGGGUGGGCUAAAACUUUGGUUUGUGGAGACCAUGAUACAACCACCCCUUGGUCUUUGGUCUCCUCCAAGAAUCCUAAUUAACGGCAAUUGUCCUGCACCAUCAGGUUCUUGUAAGUCUGGUUUCUUAACCGCCCAAAUAAAUGGAGUGUUACUGUUCUUCAGGGCUUUCGCCAUGCACUCCAUUUGUUUGGCUGAUAAGACAACAAGGCUUCCAAAAGAUAUAUACGUAUAUAACUGAAGAAGGGGCUCCCUUGUUUAACCAUUCAAUGCAAGUAUCUUCUGCUUUCCACAUCUCGACACCCGUAUCGUGAUCUUUAUCUUCACCAAGAAGUGAUGGAAGAACUAGAGGGCCAAUGGGACUAAUAGGGCAGAGAUCAGCCAUGGACUCAAUAGCAUCUUUCUCAAGCCCAAAGCAUGAGUUCCCAAGAACCCAUUUAUACAUCUUCAUGUUCUGGAACAUCUCUGAGAACAAUUUAGGAAAGAUACCAUAUGGAUUUGAAGGAAGAACAAAAGAAGGUAAAUCUUCCGUAUUCAACAGUGGCAAGCCUGGCAACUCAACACUCAUUUCAGGAUCUGUUAAAGUAGGAAAUGAGUUUAGCUUAUUGUAAAAGCGAUAAUAAAUGGCAUAAAGUGAACAUGGCUGUAUCCAAAACAUGGCACAGGGAAUUCCAUGAUUGAUGGCAACAUCAGCUACCCAGGUAACAAAUGGGUUGGUGAUGAUGCAAGAGAGCUUUUUGUGACCAUUACUGGGGAAAUGCUCCUUUAUAAGGUUUGAGAGAUUGAUGGUUCCAAAUUUGGCUAAACUCUUCUUGUACGAUUCGUAAUUAACCAUGCGGUCGUAGUUUAGGCUUUGACCAUCAGAGAAGAAGCGAACCUGGACUCCAGAGAUUGAGAUGGUGGAGGAGGUGGGGUUGAUGGUGGAAGAUUUGAGCAUGCGGUGACGGGUGAAUUCAGUGGUGGCCAGUGUGACAUGGAGACCUUUAUUGACCAAGCAUUUACCUAGUCUAACCAUGGGGUUUAAGUAACCCUGAGAUGAGAGUGCCACCAUUAGCACAUGAAUUUCUUCUUCUUUGUUUUCCUUCAAGAUUUCCAUGACUUCACAGCUCACACAACGAGCGAGAGAAAGAGAGAUUAGGUUAAGGAGGGCAGGCGAUUGACAAAUCACUGUAUAUGGAAAAAUCACGAAGGACAACUCAGCAAAGUAUAGACGCAGGCAAUGACGCAUGGCAUUAUAGGGAUCCAGAUUAAUAGUGUGUUUGAUAUUAUGAUAGCUGUUGUGGUUGUGAUUUAAAAAAAAUUAUUUUAUAAAAAGUAUUUUUAGUUGAGGUUGGUUUGAAAAAAUAGGUGUUUGGUUAAAACUGUAGUUAAAAUUGAGGUUGAAGAAAAAGUAGUUUUAACGUGUUUGGUUAAAAAAAUGUUUUUCAAAUUGAGGUUAUAAAAUAAUUAUAUAUAUAUUAAUGAUUUUUAACUUAAAUAUUGUAGAUUUAACUACUGUUAUUACAUCAUGAAAUAAAUAAUAUUGAUAUCAAAUAUUUUUUAUUAUUCCAUUAAACUAUAUACAAUGUCAUUACAUACGAAAUCUAUCCAACAAGGACUAUAUUUUUUAUAGUUUCUUAAGCGCGCAACAACAAAAACUGAUUUUUUAAAUUUAUGUAGUGUUAUUAAAUAAUAAAGAUUGUGAUAUCUUUAUUAUUGGAAUUGCGAUCAAAUUCCACAAAUGUUACGUCAUCAUGCGAUAUCUUUCUAAUUUAUGUAGUGUUAUUAAAUAAUAUUAAAUACUAGUUUUUUAAGUACAACACAAUUUUUUUUAAAAAAAAUUACAAUUUCAUUAUAGUAUAAUUAAAUUUAAUUCACCUUAAACUAAUUUUAAAAAAAAAACAAAAAAAAAUAUUGUUCACGAUUAACUGCACUGGUGUUGUUCGGGAAAAAAAAACUAAACUUUUCUUAUUGGUUUUUUUUUUAAAAAAAAAGAACAUCUUCACUGAACAGUGGAGCCAUGAGAAGCAGCAUUUUGCUGCUUCUCCAAUCCAGCGGCUGGGCAGCAAAAAUCAGUAGUCCCUACCAAGCAAAAUCAGGUUUGUUUACUUUACUAAAUAUAAAAAUAUAUGGUUGCGAGUGAACCUUACCCGCAACCACAAUACCAAACACCUAAGAAGGUGAGAAUGACAAAACUCAAAUCAAAGUGUUAAUCGUGUAUCCAAUCUCGAAAAGAAAUUAGAAAUAAAUAAAUAAAAGUGUUAAAUCAUCAUCAUGAAGAAAGAGAAUAAGAAAAAAUUAAAAGUAGUAAUCCAUUAUCGUUGAUAAGUGAUUUUGAUUGUUCUAUCUUAUUUUAAAAAUCUUCGUCCACUUUAAGAUUCUCGGUGCACUUUAUUAGUGUUAAACGUUGUAAUAAAAAUUAUUUUUUAAAAAAAAUAAAUUAAAAUAAUAUAUAUAUUAUUUUUUAAAUUUUAUUUUUAAUAUUAACACAUUAAAAUAAUUCAUAAAAUAAUAUACAUGGUCGGAUAAACAAAUAACCUUUUUAAAUUAAAAAGCGAUGAGUUCAUGAUACAUAAUUUUAUUAAAAAAAAUUAUAAAACUUAAUUUUUAAUAAAAAUAAUAUUAAAUAAUAAAAUUUAAAUUUAAAAAAAAUAAAGAAAAUGAAAAAAAUACUCUAGUAAAUAAUAAUCAAGUAGGAGGGGUACAGUUUAUUUGCUAAAAUGACAGGCACGUCCCUCCCUGGAUGGGCUCAAGUAUUGCCCCUUUUAUUCCACACCAAAAAAAAAAAAAAAAAGCAGCCCAUCAAGGGAAAACCACCCAGAAAGCUGGUCCCAAACUCUCGGCGGACAGAAAGCGAUCUCAGCAGUCUGAUAUCAACAUUAUAAAAAUGGAGUUAACUAACCGCUUGUCAAAGUGAUUUCAACAUUCAACCCAAGUAAACAGAGCAAAGCCAACUUUCUUUGAUGAAUGUUAGUUCUAACCGCUCUAAUUUCUUAUAAUUAUAUAGUGAAAAAAGACUUGCUGGACGUUUUCCUAUUAAAAAAAAACUCAAAGUUUGAGCAUUCUGUUGCUAAACCUUGCUAUUAAUUAUUAUAUAUUUAUUAUAGUUAUUUAAUUUAGGCUUCCACGCCACUAGAAUGACCACAACUCGCACAGUAAUAGUCGUGCUUGUAGAAUUAAAAAAUUUCCAAUUGAUUUGACAAAUAUUUUGGUGGUCUUAUUUGUUAAAUGUCAUCUUAUUUUUUGUUAUGGUAAUUAAAUUAAAUUAAAUAUUUGAAAAAUCAAGGUUUUAUUUCCAAAUAUCAUUUUUGGAUCACUUAAGCCUUUUUUUUUAAUGAUUACCAAGUUUGUGAGGUGUUAUUUAAAAAAAUAUUUUACAAGUAAUUUUAUCAGUUGUCAUUUAUUUUUACAUAUCUUUCACUCAAAAUCUUCAAAUUUAACUCUUUAAACCUCUAUAAAUAAAUAAAGGGAUUCACUAUCACAAGAAAGGAAAGGGAAAAAAAAAAGUUAUACUCAAGUAUUGAAACUCUGCAAAAAAAAAAAGCUGCCAAGCCUUGCACCUCAGUAGAGUUCACCUUCAAUACUUUGAGGAUAAAUCAAAGAAGUUAUCAAAUUUUGCUCAAAACUUCAUAUCACACUUUGCAAAAAGCAUGCCAAGUCUUCACAUUUUUCAGGAUAAAUUUGUAGGUGCAAUGCCAUAUAUAACGACCACGACUUGCAUAGUAGUGGUGGUGCUACAAUAUCAUAGUUUUUUAGGGUGGGCUACUGGGCUUGAAAUGUUUUCACAGGCACCUAAUACUCUUUUAUGUCAGAGUGAUGUUGUGUUUUCUUUUCAUGAAUCAAACACAAAUUACACACAUAAAAUAAAUUUAAUAAAAUUUUAUAUAAUUACCGUAUUUUAUUCGUAGAACAUGAAUCGUGAUACUUGUACAAAAAUCUUAUAAUAUUUAAUUUAAUUUUCUUUAUAAAAGUUUGUCGUUAUAGUCCCCACACAAAAAAGAAAAAAGUGCAAAAAAACACAUUCCCAACCAAACCAAAAACAAAUAAUAGUAGUGAGAAGAGGAAGUCAGAGUUCCUAGAAAAUAAUAAAAAAUUAGUUGAGGAUGUUAAAAAAAAAUUAAAAUUUGACAGUAUAUUUUUUACUAAUGAGAGCCAUGUUGACAAGAAAAAUUGAAUUUAAGAAAGAAAAGUUCAAAAUCAGAUAUUUAUAGACUCAAUUGAAGGUUUAAUUGAAUUUGUAGAGGGUUUGAUUGAAAGAAAAAUUGAUUUUAAGUCAAUUUAAGCUUUAAUUGAAAGAAAUUAAAGUACAGGGCUCAAAUUAUAAUUUUUAAGAGUUGAUUUGGUCAAAUCAGGAGCUUCAUUGCAUAAAUAUCAAAGUUUGAUGCCCAAUUAGGGACUUGAUUGAAGAAAUCCAAAACCAAUAACCAAACUAGAAAAUACAAAUAAAUAAAGGAACUGAAAUUAUCCGAAUCAAGAGCCAAAUUAAAAGUUUAUUGAUCAAUUGAGAUUCAAAUUGGAUAAAUUCGAGACCAAGUAUCAAAAUGAAAAGGACGACCAACUUUAGAGUUGACAUUUAAUUUUGACAAAGACACAAUUAAAUCGAUUCUUAAAAUUAAAAUCGCAACUGAAAACUUGAUUGAACAAAUAAAAAAUUUAAAACUUAUUUGGAAAUUAAUACAUUUUAACGUCAUUUUCUUUCAAAUGAAACAACAUCGUUUUGUUAAAACGGCAUUGUCUCAUGCAUUGUUCAUAAAAAAAGCCCAAAAUAGUGCCGUCUUGAACUGCAUUGUGUGUCUUCUUCUUCCCUGACUCACAUAGGCAGGGGAAGAAGGUUUUCGUCCCCUCUUUUGCAGCGUCCGUUUGGCUCUCUCCUAAGAACUCAAAACCCCGACACAAUCCACACCCUCUCAUGACAUACUACCAUGAUGAAAAAGCUAGGAGAACCAUGCCUAAUUGCGACUUUGGGGCGGCUGCAUAGAGGUCGCCUCAGCCACCCUACCUUUACACCAUGACUGGACAAAAAUAGUAGCUCUUUCUUCCCCUUUCCGCCCUUAUAAAUACUAGGGGACAGAGAGGAGCAGGGGACGAAAAAACGAGUGAAAUUAUAGAGAGAAAGAAAGAAAAAGAAGAACAAAAGAGAAAAAGAAACAAGGAACUUGAGAACUAAACAAGAAGAGACAGAGAGGAAAGAACUUAUAAAAAAGGGACAGAAACAAGAGAAGAGGAUGAAAACAAAAAUAGAGAGGAGUUACAUAAGAAGUGAAACAAAGGAAAAACACACUGGAAAAAAAAAAACUGUCGACCGGCACAACAGCUCCCUAUUGCACAGCCACCUUGUUAGGAAGAAGAACAGUUCCUCGCCGCGAACCAUCGCCAGCCGCCACCAGUAGCACUGCCACCGCUAGAGAACAAAAGGAGAAGAACAGAUAAAUAUAGGGAAGGAAAAGAGAUAACAGAAGACAAGCAGAAGGAAAAUACAGAGAAAGAGGAAGAACAACCAGCAGCGUCCUCCGCAAACCACCGCCAGUCCUCUUCGCCCAACGUCAACAACAGCACCGCCACUGCAGGUCAGCUUCCACCUCCUUUAUUUUCCUCUUCUCCUUCUCUGCGUGCAACCUCUACUGUUCACGUUUCUGAGCAGAAACUGCCCUUACCUUGCAUUAUUUGUUGUAUAACGAACCAAAUAUCGACCUCAUUCACUUCACUUGCCUCCUACAAUUACUGUCGUUUGCUCAAAGCUAUAUGUUCUACUUUCUAGCUGCUGGCUGAUCAUUAUACUGGGAGCAAGUAUCGAGGAGCCUGACACCCUCGAUUCCCCAUGCACCUUCUUUCAUUUCUCGUUUAUUUGUAGACGUGCUAGUAUAUGUUUUGGAAUGAUGAGUCUCUCUCUUAUGUUAUUUAUUAUUAAAAUGAAAAUAAAGUGUGCGUAGGGACAUCAUGUUAAACUAAAAAAACUAAAAAAAAGAAAAUGAAAGCAAGGAAAACAAAAUGUCAUAUUUUGGCAAUAGAAUACUCAAGCCAAAAAUAUGCUUAAAUGACUUAUAUUGAAACCUUUGAGAUUGUGCUCCAUCUGCAUGACUAGGAUUUACAUAUGGGUCAAGAUUAAUGUAUACUUUUUGAAUAUUAUCGGCAUUAUUAACUAAAAAUUCAACUAUUUGCCAAUAUAAUUCUAGAUUACGUUUAAGAGUUGUAAUGUUAAAUUUUAAACCAUGCAUAAUUCUUUUUUAAAGACUGAAAAAAUUCUUAAGACCCUAUAUUUUCAAAACUAAAAGGUUUAGAAUUUGUUGUCCUCCACCCACUUGAUGAUCUAUCACUUACUUUCUUAAAACUUAAAUCUAUAUCUUUGUAUUUCUUUGGAUUUUUGUUACUCCUCGACAUUAUAAAGAUACUAUAUAUAAUAAAAUUUAUACCCAAAUCAUAAGACAAUCAUGAAUACAAUAAAAACUAAAAAUAUUACAACAACUUUAAUUUUCAACAACCAUUACAAGCAAUUCAAACCAAUAAGAUUUUAGCAAAUUAUAAAUAGGAGAGUACAAAAAAUCGACAACAACCAUACAUAUGGCACUUGGCCUUUACUGUAUGUUAUUAAUACCUAAUUAAAAGAAGUAAAGAGUAGACAACUACAUAACAAGAGUAAUUUCAUCAUACUAACACAGGAUCAAACCCGUUCCAUGUUCACUGCAUAUAUAGCAAAUCUCCUCAUGCCGAUCACCCCACCAGUUCAACCACUUUCUCGUUGGACUUCACCACUACCGACACUGGAAACUCAUUAGAACCAAUGCACUUCCCAGCAAUCUCAGACUCAUUCGCUUUUACAAUAUCGUCAGUAAAAUAUCGUAUAUUCCAGUCGGAGGAACCACCCUCAGCCACUGCUGCCUCGGCUGCCUCCUUCCAUUUCAUUGCAUUCUGCUUCAUUUCCACUGCCUUAGGUCCCACUGUGGCCUCCAACAAGCAUUUCUCUAUCUCAUCACGAGUAAUCAGUUUGUUCUCUGCUUCUCCGCGGCACAAUCUCACACCAACCUUAAGGAUGUCGACCAAAUAUUUUGCAUUAGUUACUUGAUCACCCCAUUGAGGGAAAGCCACCACUGGCAUGCCUGAUGUGAGUGCUUCCAUAGUAGAGUUCCACCCACAAUGUGUUACAAAGCACGCAACUGAUGGGUGACCUAAAACCUUCUCUUGAGGACUCCAUUGCACCACAUUGCCCCUGUCUCCUGCUUUCUCCAAGAACCCAUCUGGCAGAACAAGGAGGUCAUUUCCUGAAUCUUUGUGGGGUGGUUUCAUAACUAACAAGAAGGAGACGCCCGAAUUCAGUAACCCACAAGCCAUCUCGUUCCAUUGGUCUUGCUUCAAUUGUACGACACUACCGAAAGACACAUAAAUAACUGAUGAAGGUGGCUUUGUGUCAAGCCAUUCGAUGCAAUCAUCUGCCUUCAGCAAGUCUCCAUGGACCGUUGUCUUUAGUACCUUAGGAUUUCUGAAUAGCGGCCCAACGGUCUUGAUGGGGAAGAUUUCGGACAUGUGCUUGAUAAGCUCUGGUUCAAGCUCUUCGAAUGUUUCCAUCAGGAUGCAAAAUGGCUUGUCAAGAUUUUUGUACUGACAUAAAAUAGCCCUCCUCAAGAAAGGAUAAGGAGUUGUAGGAUAUAAGAAACUAGGCACUUCAUCAUGUUUUAGGAGAGGCAUCCAUGGUAGUUGGACAUCUAUCUCGGGGUGCUCCUCAUCAGGGAAAGGUACAGCACCGUGAUAGUAAUGGUAAUAUGAGGCAAAACAAGCGCAGGAUUGAACCCAAAGCAUUGCAGAAGGGAGACCUAGACCUGUGGCCACAUCUGUAACCCAAGGAAUGAAAGGGUUGUUUAUGAGGCAAGAAACAGGCCGCCCUUGCUCUGCAUUUUUCUUGAUCAUUUGAGGAAUUACUUGUUUACCAACAAGCUCAAGUUGAAGUAAGUACUGGUCAAGGUCUUGGUGCCUAGGCUCGUCCUCUUUCCAUCCAUCUUCAAAGAAUUCAAACCGGAUAAAGCCAUCACCAAACGGGGUUAGCUUAUCAAUGAUGUCACUGGCUUCUCUCAUCUCUUUGCCAGUGGUUUCAGUGGUGGAGAAGGUGA